AGGCAGUGUAAUGUUAGCUGGCU
This 23-nucleotide microRNA is filed under the name Callorhinchus milii (elephant shark). Its description in RNAcentral is "Cmi-Mir-34-P3d_5p (mature (co-guide))". The record is from RNAcentral. RNAcentral also lists the same sequence under 1 other name. Lineage: Eukaryota; Metazoa; Chordata; Chondrichthyes; Chimaeriformes; Callorhinchidae.